RNAcentral lists this ribosomal RNA (460 nucleotides) under uncultured bacterium. RNAcentral describes it as "partial 16S ribosomal RNA". It matches the Rfam family "Bacterial small subunit ribosomal RNA", at positions 338 to 795 of the family's 1533-position model. The record is from RNAcentral.
CCUACGGGUGGCAGCAGUGAGGAAUAUUGGUCAAUGGACGAGAGUCUGAACCAGCCAAGUAGCGUGAAGGAUGACUGCCCUAUGGGUUGUAAACUUCUUUUAUAAAGGAAUAAAACGAGGCACGUGUGCCUUGUUGCAUGUACUUUAUGAAUAAGGAUCGGCUAACUCCGUGCCAGCAGCCGCGGUAAUGCGGAGGGUGCGAGCGUUAUCCGGAUUGAUUGGGUGUAAAGGGAGCGUAGAUGGGUUGUUAAGUCAGUUGUGAAAGUUUGCGGCUCAACCGUAGAAGUGCAAUUGAUACUGGCAGUCUUGAGUACAGUUGAGGUAGGCGGAAUUCGGGGUGUAGCGGUGAAAUGCUUAGAUAUCACGAAGAACCCCGAUUGCGAAGGCAGCUUACUAAACUGUGACUGACAUUGAUGAUCGAAAGUGUGGGUAUCAAACAGGAUUAGAUACCCGUGUAGUC